Molecule: long non-coding RNA, 17751 nt
Filed under: Mytilus galloprovincialis (Mediterranean mussel)
Lineage: Eukaryota; Metazoa; Mollusca; Bivalvia; Mytilida; Mytilidae
Source: RNAcentral
AAAGUCCUUGUGCUUGUAAGUGGGCUAGUUGGCGUUAUGUUUUAUUGGUUGGCUGUCAUAAAUGAAUAUUGGCAUACUACAUCAAGUGAUAACAAUUUUUCGCAAUGUAAGUAAUGAUUUAAUUGUGUUUGUGACUUAAGAAACAAAAGGGUUGAUCGGUUUUAAAAAAACUUUUUGACGUCAGACACACAAAUUAAUGAAUGUGUUUGUAGAUAGACGUUUUUGUGUUCUGUUAAAUUGUCCCUUUUAAAAUUGUUAUACGAUGAUGACUGAUGUACCUAUAUUUUGACUAUUUUAUUUAUUGUGUUUGUUUAGUUUACGCAUCAAUGUAAAUAUAACGGAAUUUGACGAGACUGUCAUCAAAGUGAGAGGUUUAGCGCUAUAAAACCAGGUUUAAUCCACCAUUUGUUUUUACAUUUGAAAAUGCCUGUACCAAGUCAGGAAUAUGACAGUUCUUGUCCAUUCGUUUUUGAUGCGUUUUUGUUAUUUGAUUUUGCCAUGUGAUUAUGGACUUUCCGAAUUGAUUUUCCUCUAAGUUCAGUAUUUUUGUGAUCUUACUUUUUACAUUAUAAUGUAAUAAUAAUAUUCAUAAUAAUACAAUGAUGAUACUAUUGAAAAUAUUGGUUUAUUCCUUGAAUGCCAACAUCCUUUGAUUUACUGACAAUUUACCUGUAAAAUUAUGUUGGCAUUCCAUGAAUAGGUGCAAAUAGUUAUCACAACAAAAGUGCAUGUUUUUCAAAACAAUCAUACUAAUUAAACAGAAAGGUUAAUUACAGGUAGCUAAAUCUAAUAGAUACUUGUCAAACUGUUGAAAGUAUUUAUUUGCUGUUACUGCUUGAACAAUAUGGAUUUUCUUAAAAUGAACUUGGAAAAGUGUUGCAUCACAAAGUCAAUACGUGCAUUUUGUCAGGAAUUCCUGGUAGUAACUCAAAUACGAGUGGAUACAUAGCUCCAUCCACAAAGCUUUGUAGGGAGUACAACUGGUAAAACGGUGCAAUCAACAUAAAGAGUAGAAGCUGCUGUUAAAUGGCUCACGUUGAAGUGGAUGCUGAAUAUCAGGAUACAGUCUUGGUCUCCAUCAUCAAUGAGCAGAAAGUUAUCACCAGUUGUCGUCUAAUCCAUUUGCCCUCUAAGUUAAUCUCCUGUCUUGAAAUUGGCAGUUGAGGUAUCGUCUGACUAUGCUUGGUAUAGUGUGAUGUCUUGCAGGUUGUAAAGGUGGGCAUACUCUGGACUAGUCUUUCGGAGUCGUUGUCCUAGUCUCUGUUGCGUAGUUUGACUAAUUCGUCUGCAUUGAUUGUUGGUAUUAGAGUGCUUUCAACAAGACAUCUCUGUUUCUUUCUUUUGAGCACGUGAUCAAAAUUGAGUUCAACUGGAUCUGACAGAUGAUUAUGUUGAUCUCUCGUAUUCUAUUGAGUAUGUUGAUGGUAGCUGUGCAGUCAGACUUUACACAUCUCCAGUAGCAUCUGUCCCCCGUUUAGUCUUUACUCUGUAUAUAUGCUUGUAGUUAUUGUCGACCAAGUUUUCUUUGCCAAGACGGUUCUUAAACUGUGCAUUGACACAACUUGUCUAUUCUCGGCUUGAAAGUGCACAUAACUGGCUUUUUGUAGUUUGAAAUAAUUGUACCGAGUAAAAUUUCUUUAGUAUUUCUUAUAUUUUUUAUGAUAAUAAAUACAUUUCCAUUCCCAAAAUAACUAUAAUUUUUUAUUUUAAAAGUAAUAAAAAUGUUUUAAUUUGUUGAUUUCUUUCAAAUGUUGCAAUUUUAUCAGGUUUACUAAUUAUUUUGAACGGUUUAAUACUGAUAAAAACAUUUAAACAGUUAAAAACACACCUAUUGUUAUUAUAAAAACAUCUGUUGAAAUAUUUUUGUGGGCGUUCAAGGAAUAGGUACCAAAUAAAAUGUUGGCAUUCGCGGAAGACACCGAAAAUAUUAAUAUUAUUAGUAUUAUAAUCUUCAGUAUCUUCAUCAUUAUCAUUUUUACAAAUGUAACUUAUCAUAUUAAUAUUUUAUUUUUAUUAUCGUUCAAAAUAAUAUAUAUGUGAGAGUUGAUAUCCAUGAACUGGACUACAAAUAAUGCAGCAGUAUUUAAUUGCCCGAUUUCAGUGGUGCUAUGUUGAAUUUUGGAAGAUAUUUCAAACAAUUUUAACUUCUUUUCCUAGGACGGAAAUCGCUAGGAAUUUUCUCUUAUUUUUAACAUAUGAAGAAUCAAACAAAUACCCAGAAGAGAAUAACAAUAUGUUUUUCCUACGAAGAAAGCAUACACACACACACACACACAUCUUAAUUUGUUUGUAGCGGUACAAAAGAAACACAAUUUCAUACGAUCCUCUCAAAGUUUCUUCCGUUUAAGCAAAAACAUAACAAAUCCCGAUCAAAUUUUAGAGAAAAAUUAAACUGAAACACGUGAUACCUUAUAUGUCGUCAAUACAUUAAUUUGCAGAUGAUGAUUAGUGCUCGUAGUGAAGUGCAUUGGACGAAAUGCAAAUUUUGAUAUUUUAUCGGAUGUGUGUUCUUAUUUCUAUUAAUUAGUGAUAUGCAAAGACCAGCUUCAAUAUUUUAAGAAUACCUUUUUAUAUUAUCUUAAUUCUAUUUAAAUAUUUUAUUAUUUCAUGACAUGCUAUGUAAUUAUAUAUUCAUGUGUAUAUUCGUUUUUACAGUUCUAGUGAAUUCAAAUCCGGUGAUUCGGUAGGUCACAUUCUUCGAAAAUGAGACGGGAUUGUAUUUACAAUUUAAACAUAUAUUACAUAACGGUCAAACAAGCCUUAUUGGCGACCUUAAAAUUUACGAAGGAAUCAUUUCAACUUCACAGCUUAUAACUCUUUGUUCAAAUCCUUCUUUGUGAGCAGCAACCCUCUUUCGAGGACAUUAUGUUCGGUAAUGCAAACCCUACAAUAUCAACUGGGAGGUAUAUACUCCGCAUAUGCAAGAGUUGCUGGAAUAUAGCUACAUAGAAAUGGAAAGUUUUCUAUUAGAAAACUGAAGUUAUAUAUUUUGUCUUCAAGUUGUUUUCAUCCGACACUCAUUGUCAAUUACUAGAUGUAAGUCAAUGUAUAUGGCAGACUUAACUGUAUAUGAUGUAUUCUUUAUCUCAACGUCCAAUGACUAUAAUCGUUGCAAACGAGCUGCAUAAGAAUUGGGUAAUGGUUUUAAAUAACUAUAAUUGAUUACUCAUAAGAAAUCAAUGUGACACUGAUUAGCUAUUCAUAUAAAGCACCUGUACUUUUUAAAGGGGUACUAGCUGCCAAAUUCAUGGUCGCCGAUUUGACUCAAAUUCUCAUAUUUGAUUUAUAACAAUGUAAAAUAUUUACCUAAACUAUCAAAAGUCUAAAAUAAACAGUUUACAGAGCAUAGCGUAGAUAAUAUAUAGGUUCGUUUCAUGUGUAUUCUAGUCCAGACGCCAUCUAAUUACCUAUCGAUUUGACCUCAGAAGACCAUAUAAGCGAUGUAAACAUAAAUAAAGAUAUGAAUAGAUUAAACCAACACGUGCAAUUGGAGUUUUAUAGGUCUGUUUGAUUUUAUUUUAUAGAUUAAAAAUAGAUGUUUCUCAUUGUUUUUAACCGUAUAAGAAUGAUUUUAUGUGCAUCGAACUAGUGAUCAAAUGAUUUACUAAGUUUCACUUUCAUUGUUGACGUUCUUUUUUUUUAUAUAACCAGUACACGUACAAUGCAUGCGUUGUCAAGCUCUAGCUAGGGAUUAAAUUGAAGUUCUCGACUUGCAAGUGAAUUACUAAUUAUCAGUGUUUCUUAGCGUAAUUUGACAAAAUUGAACCUUUUUGGUUGCAAAAAGCGAAUUGUUAUUUCACUAUUUCACUUUUAUUAUUGAUUGAACAGAAGAAAAAUCAAACUUUCGAUUUUUUAUAUAUCUUUUAGCUAGUGCUCCUUUAAUGACAUGUCAGGGGACAAAAUCAAAAUUCAUUUUAUAAACUUUGAUUCACAAACUACCAACAAGGUAGAUUACAAACAUUGUCAUAUAAGUGGCUAUAUAAAGAUAUAAAUAAUUCAAUAUAUUACUUGUAUUCUUCUCUUAGUAAAUAUCACGAUAAGUAAGCGUACAUGCCCAUGCAAGCGACAUGUAUCCAUAAUAAUCAUGAUAGGAGAUACAAUAUACCUUUAUAAGAUACGAUUUGAGUCACUGUUAUAAAUAACGCUGUACAUUCGAUGAACAACUGUACUGCAAGUUUAAAAAAAAAAAUAAUUGAACUUUAUCAUUAUCAAGAUCAUAUUAUGAUAGAAAAAAAAGAAAUAUUAUACAAAUGAUUUAGAUUUUUGAAAAACACUACAUGAAGUGAUGGACCUAGAAAAUGAUUGUAUUAGUCUUGAUUAAAUGUGUUUUAUAAUCCACCUGGCUCAAAGUACAACUAUAACCUUAUUUUAUCAACUGUUGUCCAUCGACCGUUAAAAUUGUCAACACGUUCAUUCGAAACUGAAAAUGCUCUGAAUAACUAUCUUUUUAAUCAACACGACCGCUGCGAUUAAACUAAGAAAACUAUAAAGGUUCAAUACAUGUACGUGUAUUAUAUAUAUAUAUAUAUAUUUACUUUAUAUAUAUUUAUUUACUUUAUUUCAUUCUUAUCGAAGAUUUUGCAACAUUGGGAUUGUAUGAUAAAAAUGUCAAAUAUUAAUUAGAGUAAUUGAAUCAGUUGAAUGUCACUUGAUAAUAUUUCUGAAGCAAAGUCAUCUAUUAAAAAUCACGCUGCACAUUCGAUGAAACUGUGGAAUAUAAGUUUUUGAGAAAUAAAUACUGUUAUCAGUAUCCACAGCAUAUUCCGUAUCACAAGACAAGUGUUUGUGUGAAAGUGGUUGGCUGUAGAUCGUCUUGAUAAACACUGAACACAAUCCGAUUUAUAUAAGUAAUAUAUUAAGUCCUACCAAAGCUUCUACUCUUAAGACUGAUAAACGAUCGCACAUACACAUCGGUGUAGUGACUAUAGGUAUUAUACCAGAGCUUAUUCCUUGGAUAUUGGAAGAUGCACCGUUCCUUAGAUAUUUAUUCUGAACUUGUUAUUUUGGCCUAUGUAACCUAGUAGCAAUGUGUGAGACGUGUUAUUGUCUUUGCAAAUUCGUUAGAUGUCCAGCAGCAACGAGUGCAUAUAUGUGCACUACCAAAUCCUGUGGUGUAUUCUACCUAUGUACUGCUUUUCCAGUGCACUAUCUUGCCUGUUCUACCUUUGCACCGUUUAACAAGUGUAUUGUCUGGUUUAUGCUUCACUUGUGCACUAUUAACCAUAACAAUACCGAUAAAUAGAUGGAAGACAAAACACUAAAAAGUAUAUAUAUUUAUAUAUAUAUAAGUCUAUGAAAAGGACCAACCAGCAAAUUUACUACGUACCGGAUCGUCUAGAAUAUAUAUAUAAACGCCCAAAAAAGUGUACACAACAACUCCAAAUACAAAAAAAAACGGUAACUAUAAAUAUAAUUAUUUAUAAAUAUUUCGGAUAACAGAUAUCCUUCAUCGGUAUAUAUGAUUGUGAUGUUGAAUGAAUCAAUUAUCAGUCUACUUAGAUUAAGUUGUUACAAUUUUGAACCGAACAUCAGUUAAGACGCUUGCACCAUUCUAAAAAUUUAUUAAACAUGACAUAGGUUAUAUGGCUUAUUACAACAGAGAGUUCAAAUAUAUGUUUCAAUACAAAUAAUAAUGUAUGAUAUGAACUAGCACAAUUCUAAAACUUUAACGGGAACGACAAUUAUGAUGGUACAAGAAUGAUUACGUCAAUAAAAUUGCCAAAUAGACAGCACUGAACGAUCUAAAUUUAUAAAUAUUUUAAAUUGACAGAUUAAAGUAGCUGCAACAGACUCUGAGUAUUUAAGCAUCGCGAACAAACAACCGUUAAAAUGUAAUCAUUAGUUUUGAAUAGGUAUAACUGGAAGAACGUGGCUUGGUACUUAUACAUCACUCAAAAAAUUAAGCAAUUUAAAUGGGUAUCUUCAACAAGUUUAUUUAAUGGAUGAAAAAGGUUAAGAAAUAGAAACAGAAGCUGUAAUAAUAAGUAAUAUAACCUAAAUGUGAAGCACUACAUCAAGUCGAACUACAUCUUUUCAUUUAUCCCAUUUGGUGCCAAAGUUGUUAAUUUCCUUAUCCAAAACCUUUCCCGAGCGAGUCUUUCCUCCUUAGACCAAGCAGAGUUGUGGUCAAUGAUUUUAAUGGUCAGUCGAUUGAGAUCUGCCUUAGUGUGACCAGGGGACCUCAAAUGUCAAAUCACAACGGUACUGAUAUAAGAUGGUAUAAUACUUAUAUCAGUACCGUUGUACAAAUUUUUAGACUGAUAUUACAAAAGAGUAAAAUCACAAAAAACACUCCGAGGAAAAUUCAAAACGCAAAGUCCCUAAUCAAAUGGCAAAAUCAAAAGAUAAAACACAUCAAACAAAUGACAACAAUUGUCAUAUUCAUGACUUGGUACCGAAGCUGUCUUAUGUAGAAAAUGGUGGACUGACCCUUGUUUUAUAGCGCCAAACCUCUCACUUGUAUUAGAGUCGCAUCAAAUUCCAUGAUAUUGACAACAAUGCUUGAACAAAACAGCCUCAGUUUUAUUGUUUAUAUUCACCCCACAUAUAUCAAGUUUUAGAUUAUUUUAUUUACACACAAGACAUUUCUUGGUAUUUUUAAACGGAAGAUUAAAUAGACAGAAGAAGAAGUAUACUUAACAACAAAAUUGUUUUAUUAACCUGUGUAUUAUAUGACGUAUUUUUUUUUCAAAUUUGAUGUUUUUAUAAAAUUGUUACUCUUCACAGCAGUUUUAUACUUUUACUUUAAUAAUCCAUCCCUUAUUUUUAUUAACUCUGUACUAACAUUGCAUCACAGAUCAAAUGUAAUUGUUCAUUGUGUGUUUAUUUAUGUCACUUCGUUUUUUGAUUGAGUUAAGUCACUCCAAUUGAUAAAGUGUGUCUAUCUAUGUUUUGAUGUUAUACUACUGUUUGAAAAAAAGGGAGGUUUGGUACCAUUAAAACGUUUAAUCCCGCUGCAGUUGUUUGCACCUGGUCUAAGUCAGGAAUCUGAUUAUCAGUGGUUGUCGUUUGUUUUUGUGGUUCAUUAGUAUUUCUCGUUUCUCGUUUUUCAUAUAGAUUAGACCGUUGAUUUCUCGCUUGAAUGGUACUACACUAGUAAUUUGUGGGGCCCUUUAAAGCUUGCUGUUCGGUGUGAGCCUUGGCUCCGUGUUGAAGACCGUACCUUGACCUAUAAUGGUUUACUUUUAUAAAUUGUGACUGGAAAUAAGAGUUGUCUCAUUGGCACUAAUACCACAUCUUCCUAUAUCUAAUUAAUAUGUAACAUUGUCAAAAUAGGGGUACAGCAUUCAUAGCCAUGUUACAAUCUCAAUCAGAACAAAAACAAACAAAUAUUUAACAAAGAUGCACAAAAAACAUACAUAAAAUUUUACAACCAGGUUCAUUGCUUACUUAUUUUUGUAUUUUAUUUGAGUAUAUUAAAAUCAACCCAUAAAGGAUUGAAAUAUUUUAAAUUCUGUUACUGAAUGGCUAGAUAAACAUCAACUCUGGUGUAGAAUCACGCGUUUAACGUCAGAAUGUAAACGUCACACAGGUAGAGAUAUAAACUAAUUCAAAUUAUGCAAAAAUUAUAAUCAAAACAUUAAUAUAAUAACGUCAUAUGUAUCAAAGAAACACAAAAAGUCACACGGACAAAGCACAACACCAAAAAUGAAAGAUAAUACAACCAACACAUUGACGGGAUGCAUAAGUACCGAGCCACGUCAAAUCACCAAAAACAAACCAAACAGUAAAAGUUAAAAUAUUAAUAAAGACAAAAAAAAGAGUUAACGUUAUUAAGAUUAUAUACAACAUAAGUACGCAGAAUCUAUACACAAGAACCAUCAUGUUUCAUUUUUGAAGUUGAUACGGAAUAUUUAUUAACAAGGUCUUGGUACCUUCCAAUAUACAUUUCUUUGAAAACAGACGAGACGUUCUUCGACAUACCCCUGGUUUAUCAACUUUUUUUGUUCUUUUAUACGUCUUGACUUCCUUGAAAUACAGCUUUUUUGACAGCGCAUCAGGUUAAAUACUAGGUAACUGACCAUACCGUUAACUCUGGACGAUACCAAAUAUCGUAUGCCUGUGAGUGUUUGCAGAAUAUCUAAACCCCUUAUUGCUAAACGUUUGAAUGACGGCCCUUAUUUGCACAAUUUAUUCAUUUUUUUCAAUAUUAGCCGUAAUAGCGAAGGUGUUUUGAUGUACCAUAAAAAUUGUGAAAUUGCAAAGAAAUAGUACUAUAGUACCUUUAUGUACAUCUUUAGUCCAUGAUAUCCGCAUUUGAUCAGUAAGAUUGUACGUUAUAUAAUACUGUCCGAUAAGGCAAACGAAUAUCUACUGUCCUUAUGGAUUAAAACGUUAAGAGUUUCUUGGAUGUUUAGAAAAUUGUUGAUAUUUCAAAUGUUAACAAUUAUACGAUCAAAUGCGGAUUUGUGUCUUCCUUGGUAAGACUGAAAUUUACAAAUAAAGGCAACAGUGGUAUACCGCUGUUCGAAAUUCAUAAAUCGAUUGAGAGAAAAAAACAAAUCCGGGAUCCAAACUAAAACUGAGGGAAACGCAUUAAAUAUAGGAGGAGAACUAUGACACAACAGAAACACAUUAAAAUGCAACACACACAGAAAAGAACUAUAAUAUAACAAACAUUUACAUUUGGUUCCAGGUGUAAAGAACGUGUGCAUAUAAAAAUCCUGCAUUAAUAAACGAUAACUGUCAACUUCGUUUAUCAUAAUCAAACGUGUAUCUCGGAUCAUUAAUUUUACAAUUGAAACCUUCAAAAAGGACAACAGUUUCCAUGGUUAAAUAAAUGUAAUACUUGUAGACAUCUCUAUCAGAGUUUAUCAGAGUUUCAACUUCUUUCGAGAAUAGCUCAUAACUGUGGUUUGUUUUUGGUAAGUGAACACAUAUCAGAUAAAUGUUUGAUGUGUCUGGUAUAUUUAAUUCAAUUCCCAUUAUUCUACUGAUCGGAAUAUCCAGUAUUUCAACAAGAGACCAGUUUUGCCCGAUACCAGAAAGGUGACGACGCCUCUUUAUAUUAAACUUGAAUAAUUGAUGACAAUUGUCAUAAACGCCUUUCCCGUCACCAAUAUAAUUCGUCGUAUGUAAACGCAUCAACUUACAAGACCGAAACCAGAGGUCUGCAAUGAUAACAAUUAUGUCAAUUCUAUUUAUAUUAAGGAAAUCAAUAAGAUAUGGAACACUAUAAUCAUGACUCCACGAGAGAGUUCAAACAUGCAAAGUAAAGUUCCAUGAUUAAGCACAUACGAUACAGUUUUGAUCCCAUAAUGAUUUGAAAAUUUGAAUCUCGGCUAUUUUUGUACCUGAUUAAAUCAAAUAUGUAAUAAAAAAUAUAUCAUCAUGUGCUUUUUUUUGAGUAAAUCGAGGUUGAAAUGUCAAAUAGUUCCUCAAAAUUCGGAUUUGUGGACGCAUUUUUUUCCUUUCGACAGAAAUGUAUAACUUUUUUGUUUAAAGAAAUAAACAUAUUAAAGCUGUUUUUUUUUGUUAAGUAAUUUGUUAUUUCUGUUUUAUAUUAAUGUUCUUCAAAUUUGUACAUUUUAUUUUUACAAAUAAUCAUAAAUAUCAAAUUUUUAUGAAUGUAGAAAAAAACGCCCUUUUUUGCUGUAUAUUUAUCAAAUUAAAAAAAAAUGCACUAUUGACUUUUUCAUGAAAAUUGGUACACAUAAUCUUCAUGCGAAUUCAAACCAGAUGUCAUUUUAUAAAAGAGGGGUGCACGAACUCGUUUUCAAGUUAUAUCAGUUUGAAUGAUAAAAAUCGAUCAUUCAUAGUUUGACAUCGCGAAAAUAACAAUUUACGUUAGCAACUGUAACUUAUCGUAUGCCCUUAACUUAAGUGUCUACUUUGUCGUGAAUAAAUAAAUCACAAGCUAGGUUUCAAAUCUCUAGUAGAUUCCUUUCGGCCAUAAACUAGAGUUGUACACAAUAUGUCAAUCUCGUGCAUAAAGAAUCCGUUUGCUUAUUGUAAUGUGACUAUUUUACAGCUUCAAAAGAUGUAUAUGUAAGGAUGUUGAUAAUGGUGAGAAACUGCGGUUUGUUGUUUUUGCCUGCAUCCUGGAUUAUGAUAAUGUUAUCUUACUGUAAACUGUACAAUGAUUCGACAAUGCACACCCUUCCAUAUUGGUUAAAGAGGUUCGCUAUUGUGAUAUUCAGCAUAUAUGGUAAGUUCUCAAUGUUUCAAUAUAAUAAUACUUAUGAUUUUUGAAAAUUUGAAAAAAAAUUAACGGGGAGGACGCCAAUGACAUUGUUUCGUUUACGAAUCGAUCAAAGAUAAGCCUACGUAAUUUCAAACACGCGCCCACGUUAUCAGCUCGGUAGUUAGUACUUUCAAAUUGGUACUGACACGAUUUAUAACAAAUUAACUAAAAUUGCCCGUUUAUAAAUUGUGGCAUUAUAAAGAAAGUUAGAAACUAAUGUUUCAACUGCCUCGCGCAAAGUUGGCCUUAGAUGGAUUUGGCUAUUUUUAGAUCAUUUUUGGUUUAUUAUUAUCGGUCCUUAUACAUCACUGGCUUUCAAAUAUUCGGGUUUGGGUGUAACUUACCAGGGUAAAUCCAGAAAAGCGCUCCGGACGGAAAUGAAUAUCGUGUAUAUUUUUUUAUAAGCGCCGUUCCAGAUUUGGGCUGAUCUGCAGUUCACUUAAAUAACGACUAUUGUGUCUUUCAUUUGCGCAGAUUAUGAACAGGUAAAUGAAAGAUGAAUUUAUUUUCUAUUCAUCAGUAUAAACCUCUUCUGGUAGCCAGUUGUACAUUAGUCCGAGAUUACUCUGACGUCGAACGGCUAUUUUGUCAGACAAGCUGGGAGUAGGUUUUGCUGACAGUGCAGCCGUUUGACGUCAAAGUAAUCUCUGACUAAUUGUAAAUGUUAUGAAUGGUCAAUUUAAACGUAUAUACCAAACAUUGUCUCCAGCACACCGCGGAUUGGUGAAAUAACGAUAUGAACAGGCCGUAUGUGUCAUUAUAGCUUCAAUUAACGCGAUUUUUACAUAUUUUGAGCACUAUUAAAAACUAUGGUAUCACUAAUUAGCAACAAAAAUCGACAAGAAACUAUUUAGCGACAAGAAAAAUUUUUUUUAAUUAAAAUUACUUAUUUCAAAUAAAUAUUAAAAGAAUAUGCAAAAGAAAACAAUUUUAGCGACAAAAAAGUUAAUAUUGAUAGAAAGAAAAAAAUAAAACAUCAAAUUGCUACAUUUAUUUACAUGAUAUUUUAUUAUUUAUUAUGUAUUACAGCAAGUAUUACGUUUACCCUGUCGUAUUAUAUUACUUUAACUUGAGUUUUAGAACAAUAUAUUUAUCUUAUAAUUUGUUUUUUACUCUUUGAACAAUAAUGCUACGGUACCCAAAUUGCGCUGAGUACCCAAAUUGCACCUAUUAAUCAAAAAUAGCAGUAGAAAUCUUACAAGAUUUCAUAUAGACUAAACAAUUUGUAUUUUUAUGAUUUCAUACUAUGCAGGUCUUCCAAAUAGGUUAAAAUAUUUAGAUAUAAACAAAACGUUAACAGUUUUUAUCAACAGAUGAAGUGUUUACUGAAAAAGCAAAAUGUACGGAAAACCUCAUCAUGCGACGUCAUCAAAACGUCAUCUUUGUUAAAAUUAGCAAAUGCAAUAUGUUACAAGUAUCUAUUUCUUAAAAAAUGAAGAGUAAGCAUGGAAUAAUAUCCAAUUUUUCAAAAUACUUGAAGAAAUUAAACAAAAGCUCUAUUACUCGACUUUUGAUGAUGCAAAUUUAAGCAUGGAUGAUCAUGGAUGCAACUUGGGUACUGCUCAUUACUGGUAUAGAAUCAUUGAAGGUUUGGAGGUCAAUUUUAGGCCAUUUUUUAUGAUUCCAUGAUCAAUAUUAAAUUGGUAAAACCAUAUAGUAAAUUAUAAUAAAUUCAAAAUAAACACAUGAUGAAAAAAAAUUUCCGAAGAAUAAAUAAACGUAGGUUAAAAAACUGUCAAAAUAGGUGCAAUUUGGGUACCCUCACGUUAUAUAAUAAACUUGCAAAAUACAUUAUUUGUGCAUCAUUUUCAAGAAAAUACAGACACAAAUUGUGAAAUACAAAGAACUGUGAUCAACCAAGAGGAAAACAAUUAAAAUGUGAAUAUUUUCCAUCAUUUUAUUUUGUGUAUUUCCUCAGUUAACGAUAUUUAUCAUGUUUAUGCAUAUCAGAGACAUAUAAUACAAAUGUAUUAUAUGUCUCUGUGCAUAUUGAUUAAAGUUUAAAGGAAAUUAAUGGCAAUCUUGAGUUUUCAACAGAUGUUCACUAUUUGCAAUGAUUGUAUAUAUUCUGACGCGUGUAAUUGUAUAGACUGACUCGUGUACAAAGUUGAAGGUGUUAAUUGGAUGUUAUUGUAGCAAUAAAACAAGGGACACACGCCUUGAUUAUCUCACUUGACUGAUGUUCCACAUUGUGUGUACUGUUAUUACCUUAGAGUGAAGCCCCAUCUAAUGUUGUACUGUAUUGUUAGAAAGGAAAUAAUAUUUCAUGUUUUUGUUUUAAUAAAUCUUUCUAGGAAAGUUGAAAUAUCUGUGUUUUUAUUUCCAUUUCAUUGCCCGUAAAUUAAACAAAAAUGCAUAUUUCUUUAUAUUUGAUAAAAAAAAAAAUGUUUUCUUGUCGCUAAAUAGUCUUCUUGUCACUAAACUGAUUCUUCUUGUCUCUUUUUGACGCUUCUUGUCGCUAAUUAGUGAGACCCAAUCAAAGAGCAGAUUGCUCUGAGGGAUACGAUUGCAAUUGUUUUCAUUGACACAUGUAUACAUGUAGCUGGAUAAUAUUAUUUUCAAAACUAAUUCAACUGCACAUGUAAAAUGUAUUUUACGUAAUCUGAAUAGUAACAAAAUAGCCAAUCCCGGAUAAAAGUGUAUGAACAAUGUACUUAGGCUUAUUGUGUUUUAUUUUUGUACUAUUUUCUAUCAAUUCCAAGUUUACUUUUCACAGCAGUCACUGAGACUCAGAGUGAGAGAAGUAUUUCAUUUCGUAUAUUAUCACCUAUUUUCCUACGUUAAUUCUAGGAGGAACCCCAUUCCUAACUCUUCAAAUGUUUAAUUUCCUUUGGGUCAGUGAUCAUGACUCCUUCCCGUACACAUUCAUCGGUUUAAAUUGCGAUCGUUUUUAAUAGGCAUUUUUAAUACAAUACGACGUUUAUCGACAGAACGAGUUAAUUUUUCUCAGCGUAAUGUUUUGGUUGAGAAUUCACGGAAGUGUCUUCCGGAAGGGAAACAACUCGAAACGAUAAUAUGGAAGACUCCAUUUCGCCUGAAGGGGUGUUGAAAAAAAAUCUUAACGAUGUUGACUAAUUUAUUUUAAUUUAAAUGAUGCAUAUGAUUUAAAAUUAUGCAACUACAAUAACCUCAAUGGCAGACAUACAUAGAAAGGAUCCUAUGAGUUAUAAAUUAAUCAAUCGAGUGGGGAAUCCAGAGCAACCAUUACUGUUACUGUUAUUGGUAUGUUCCUCCUAUCUAAGGAGCACUCCCGAAGAAUGAGGAUAAGAAUAUGAAUAUUUACAUGUAUAUGAAUAUUUACAGGGACCUGUUAGUAGCACCAUUACCCAUAUAAAAGUCAUCACUCUAUACACAAGUUCUGAUGUCCUGAUUACUAUAUUACGACACUUUCUCGAUAUAUACAAUGUCUUUUGAUACUUGAUACUCUUUCAAAAUAUCCUUCACUUUGAAUUGUCAGUCUGAUAUUAAGUAUACUGCUCUUAUAUAUGUGAUAAAUUUAUCAAGCCUUGGUCUGAUUUAAUAAAAUACGUUUUAUAUGAAGGCGGUAACAUAAUGUUCUUGUAAUAGCUUCAAUAUCUUUACAGUUUGAUUUCUUCAGUUUGAAUAGUUCUUUAAACUUUGUUGCUGAUGGGUUAAGAAUGAAUUGUACAAGCAAUCCUUGUUCCUCUACUCUGUCAAAUGUUCCAACUGGUGUGUUGUUCUUCAAGUAGGAUUUAAGAACUGACAAAUGUCUAUCUCGCUCCGUCUUUCAUGCAGUACACGUUAUUAGAAAGUGAUGUGUAUAUUCACGGCUUAUUUCACAUAGCAGGCACUUGUCACUUUCUCGACCUCUUGUGAAUUUUUCUCUGUCUGAUUGUAAUGUGUAAGUUCUUGUGAUUAACCUUGCUUUAAUUUCGGCCUUUUUCACUUCGAUAGUUGUAUUUGGUACUAGCUGCCAGAUUUGAGGAGGCUUUUCAAUAGUCUGUUGAUUUAUAUCAAUAUAUUGCAUAGUGGUUUUAUUUUCUUUCUCUGAUAACCACUGUUUUUCCCAAUGCAUGUUUAAUGCCUAAUUUACAGUCCUUUUCCAGAUCUCUUUUGUUGGUUUACUGUUCAUUAUUUCUUGUGCCUUUGGUAGACAAUAUUUAUUCAAAAUUUCUUUUAAUCUAUUGAUAAAGUUGUUACUAUUUGGUGGUGACAUGCAUAAUUGCCUUUCUAUGAUCAUAAAUUCGAUGCUAGCACGAUCCUGAAUAAUGCCUCCGAAAAAAGUAAGGACAAGACGAUCGACAGUUGCCUGUACUGGCUCCACACCAAGCAUAACAUAUAUGGCGGCGUUUGCUGUUCUGUUUGGCAAUCCCUGAAUUUGUCUACAGACCUGUUGUUGAAGUCUUUCAAGCUUUAGAAUGUCAGUUUUUGUAUAAUUCAUGAUCUCUAUACCAUACAAGCAUCUUGGAAUUGCAUAUGUUUGCCAUACUUUAAGUGCUACUAUAGGUGACAUUUCUUUUCGUGCGUGAAGGCCUGGACCUAACAUUGCGUAUACAGCUUUCCUAGCGACUUUCAAUCUAUCCUCGAUAUUCAGCUUAUUUUUAGAGUCUCUGACUAGUCCUAGAUGUUUUGUUUGUGACUUUUGAUCUAGAAUAUCAUUACCAAGUUGAACAGAGAAUUUUUCACGAGUAUCGUGGAAAAUUUUGCUUCUUGUCUUACCCCUUGUCUCUGAAUAAAUUGAUCUGACAGAGUAUUAUCCCAUUUCACUUUAACUGCAACAUUUUUGUACAUAUUUCUAAGCAAAAUCCAAAUGUUGCCAGUUAUGCCGUCAUGGUACAGUUUAUUGAAGAGUAUCUCAUGGUCUAAUUUGUCAAAUGCUUUUUGAGCAUCUAAUGUCAGGAGAACAAGCUGUGCAAGUACUUCUUUGUAGAAAUCUGCCCCCCUGGGUUACAAUGAAGGCUGCAUUGAGCGAGGAUGAUUUUUCAGUAAAUCCACGCUGAAGUUUACUUUGUUGUGGUAGAAGCUUGGGUUCUUUUCUGUCCUUAAGUAUACUUUCGAUCAAUGUGGAGAAGCAGUUAGUCACUGUUAUGCCUCUGUAGUUUUCAGGAUAUAUCUUAUCUUUUCCACUCUUCAGUACAGGCGUAACCACCCCUUCUUUCACUUUUGAAGGUAUAUUCUUUUCUUUGAAUAUAAGGUUAAUAAUGUAAAUGAUAUAUUGUUCAGUUGGCAUAUUCUUAAGGUGUUCAGCUGAGAUUCCAUCUGCACCUGGACUCUUUCCAGUUUUAAGCUUUUGAAUGGAUAAUGUAACUUCCUCUUCGUUUGCUUGUUUUAUCUCUUCGUUCCUAUUGGUUUCUAUUUGUUCAAUUAUCUCAUUUUGCAUAGUGGCGAGAAUAAGCCUCUCGGUGUUAUAUUUUGAUUUUUUUCAGUUUUGUGGCUUCUAUACAGAUCUUCAAAGUAAUUUUUCCAACCUUCAAGUAUAUCUUCAGGUUCUGCCUGUUCUUUUGCAUUAAAAAUCAUAACGUCUGUAUUCACUUUUUUGACACCUCUUUGAUUUUGUAUAAGCUGAUGGAAUAGCUUGUUGUCGUUUUGGGAAGCCAUCAUAAUUGUUACAAAAUGAUAGAAAUAAUUAUAAAUUAAGGAAUGUAUCUCCCUCAUGCAAAGCUCUGAUUCCUUCCUCGGAUUUGGCUAUACUUUUUGGACCUUUUGGAUUAUAGCUCUUCAUCUUUUAUGUAAGCUUUGGAUUUCAAAUAUUUUGGCCACGAGCAUCACUGAAGAGACAUGUAUUGUCGAAAUGCGCAUCUGGUGCAAGAAAAUUGGUACCGUUAAUUUUAUUGCUCUAUGAAGGUGUUUUUUUCUAGAUGCAUUAGCCCUUCGUUGCGCACUUCUUAAUAGUCGUUUGGCUUUUAUCAUUUCCUGCUUUUUCCCAGUGUUUUGUCCAUCCAAUUUCCAUUCAUAAAAUACUAUUUUGGAGUGUUUUGAAGCCUGACUAAUUUCUUCAUUCCAAAUGCCAUUUCCGAUCGCUUUUGAAGUUACUUGUUUCCUGUAAUUUGGUAUGGAAUCUUUUCCUGCCAUAUGCAAUAUGUUUGUUAAUUUUUCUAUUUCUUCAGCUGAUGAACUAAGAUUGUGAAUGUUAAUUUCAUCGAGGUUUUUUAGAAUAGAGGCCUGAUAACUGUUCUUGUCACACAUUUAACCUAGUAUCCCUUGAAGUCAAGAAAACUAUACGCAUGUGCAUAAUAACCUAAACAAACCCUGUAGUAAGAACGUAUAUUAAACCUAAAUGGUUCUCUAUUUUUUAUCGAUGUACAAUAUCAAAUAUCAGUUUAAUAACGGUGACAUAUAAGUAAAACUCCACUUCAGUUCUUAUAUGACAGAAAUAGAUUCAUCGGAAUUCAGAGAACUCUAGCAUUUUUAUCACAACUGGGGAAUUUCCUCUGACGUGUUUCUGAAUUUACAAAAACACUAAAUACAAAUACUGCUUGAUUCUGAUUUUCCGUGUUGUUAAAAACACGCAUAUAAGUCAAGGGAAAUAUCAAACAUGAAGAUUAUGAAAAGAACAUUAUAGGAAAGUUGUUUAAGUUCAACCCCUUUGUUUGUUUUUACCUUUUAAACCAAGACAAUCAUAAGAAUCUGAGACGGUCAUUAAUGUUUAGAAUAAAACGGUUGACGUGAGGGCACUGUCCUGAGCCACUGGUAUAAGUCUACAGAUUGCUUGAAAGCAAUCGUAUCCCAAAAACUAUAGUCAUUAAUCACCUAGUGCGUUAAAAAUCCAUUCAAGUCCAUUGCUGCUUCUGGAUUGUAAUAACGGUCCUGCAUUCUGUGAUGUUCAACGCAUGCGAGACAACUAUAUCUAGGCUAAUCAACUUACCAGAAAAAGGAGUUGGACUCAAGUAAUUCUGAAGUCACAACUUUAUGUUCCACUAGUGAUGCAAUGUUUAUGUAUCUUUGGGUUUCAUACUUUGUUCAAGCAUACUAUAUAGAAACACGUGUAAACUAAAACAGUAAUUUACACCUUUAAAUGUGAACAGAUAAAUAUGAUAAAUCAUGCAUACUACAGCAAUCUGAUAAUACACUUAACAUAGAACUCUAUACCGGGGAAACAAUUUUAAAAUAUAUUUCUAACCUACCUUUACAUUUCUUUAACCAGUUCAUUGAAUAUUAGAUAAUGGUGAUUUAUUUUUCUUUUCAGCUGUAUUUGGCCUAUUGGAAACGUAUAGGUUUCGUGAAAAUAUUGGGCUAUCUUGGUUGUGUAUUUCUGAUAUGUGCAUGAUGUUUACAAUCUCCAUGCUGUACUGGCAUAUUCAUCAUGAUCAAAUCACAGAUAUGAAGAAAAAUGAAUAAUAGACCAUAUGAAAGAUCAAUCACACAACAUGGCCAUUUUGUGAAAAUGUUAGAAUAGCCUUAAUUUUCUGUAUAUAAUAUUAACAUAAGUAAUGAUUAUGUCUGAACUUCCACUUUGUUAAUAUCUUAGCAAUACAAAAUAUUUUUGUGUAUAAAACAUGUAUUUAUCUUCAUUUUAAGCUGGAUAUUCCUUAUUGUUCUAUAAAGAAAUGACCAGUUGUAUACUGCAUACAAUAUUCUUGCAUUCUAAAGCUACAAUUGUUUGUAAG